GAUCUGGCACUUCUGUGGCUGUGGUAUAGGCUGGCAGCUGUAGUGCUGAUUAGACCCCUAGACUGGGAACUUCCAUAUGUUGUGGGUGCAGCCCUAAAAAGAAAAAGAAAUCAUGAGGGAAAUAAAGCAGUCUGGCAACAAAAACCUUCUUGGCCAGUUUUUAGAGCCAAAUAAGAUUAUAUUCUUUUUUUUCAUUUAAUAUUUACAGAAGCUCUCCAGUAUCCUGUGAGUGACAAAGGAGAGCAUGUGAGGGCAGAAAGAUGUGGCAAAUCACCCUACCUUAUCUCCAUCAAAUCUUUUUGGCUAAAUAUUCUCAAGAAUGGAUUGCAUGUUUCUCAAGUAUUUGUUUGUAUUUGCUUCUCAGGUAGGGAAGUUUCUGGAAUAAGGUACCUAAUAAUCGAGUCAUCCAGGAUUUGUUCAAACAAGAGACAUUUCAUAAUUACCUCAGAGACUGUUACUCUUUGAAGUACGAAAAAAGGCAAUAGAUGCCAGAUUCAGCUAUUAGGCCAAAUUCUCCUACAGUUAUCCCCAUAUAGGGGCACAGUUGUCUCUAAAGUGAAUUAUCUAAUGUCGUUAAAUAUUUACAGAUUAGAGAGUAGAGGUAUGGGCUUUGGAAUCAGAUAGAACUUGUUUUAAACCUGAGCUCUGCCACUUAGUAGGUACUUGACUUGAACAACUUAUUUAGCCUUUCAAAAUAAAUUUAGUCAUUUAAAAUUGGCAAUAUAUGUUGUAAUCAUUAUUUAAUUAGAUAUCAUGAUAAGUAGAGUAUGAAAGUGUUAGUUACACUUAGCACAUUUUGUGAUCUACACACUUUAACUUUUUAUUUAUGAUUGUAAGGAAAGAAAGAGAAACAACUAUCUCAUUUAGAUUCCGUCUUUCUUUGGAACCUCUUAAAUAUCAGGGGAGAGAAAAGUGGCCCAUUUAGAGUGGUGUCUGGAGGUUUUUAUUGCCAAUGAACCCACUGCCCUGGAAACUCAUAUGUUAACACUAUGCCUAUGAGUACCGUGCACUUUGAAUAGAGGUAGCACGUGAUUCUGCAAAGACAAAAAGUAAAGGCAGAUGGUAGGGAUAAAGAUACACUUGAAUGGCAGAUUGAAGCCUUGUCCAUUUGAGAAAUGACAAUGCAGUAUAUAAUGGGUGGUUAAAAAUGUGGAAACUAGAGAUGGACAAUUUAAGUUUGAAUCCCUCCAGCAAUAGCCAACUAUAAAACUUGAGAUCAAUUAUUUUACUUCACCUCUCUGUAUCACACUUUCAACAUAUACAAAAUAGUGAAUGUAAUAGAAUCUAUCUCUUAUGGUUUUGUAUAUAAAAAUAUUAGUAGAUAAAAAGUAGGUAGAACAUAGACUGGUAUAUAGUAAGCAUUCCAUUAAUAUUAGUUACUAUUUAACUCUGACCACAGGAAGAGUACAACAUGGCAAGGCCCAGUCUGUUGUAUUCCUGCCAGGUAAUUUACUUAUGUUUUUACUGAGAGAAAGAUGAAAGAAUGAGAUUUUCUACAGCCUUUAUAUUUUCUGCUAUGUGAAGAGGAUUUUUUUCAUGCUUCCUGCUUUGUAGUAUCUUUUUAGAGACCAGAAAAAAACUUGCCUCCAGAUGUCCUAAUUGAUGAAGAAAAAUUUUAUAACUGGAUAUCACCACCAUCAAUUACUUUGUUUUUGUUAACAAAAUAAGCAAUAACCUCAUGGAAAAAGUGGACUGAGUGUCUCUAGAGUUGACUGUAGAUGACCUUUAAAAUGGGAAGUGGAGCCAGUAUCCAGUGCUGUCCAGUAUUUUCAAUAGUUUGAGUAAACUUACAGAAGGCUGAGAAACUAACGUGGGUAACGACUGAUUAUUGCUUAAUAAUAUCUUUAUUAGGACAGUUGCUAACUGUCUCUGAGUUCUGGAUCUUUUAUUCCUUGUCAUAAUGAAAUAACUCUUCAUCCAUGUACAGCCUAGUAAGGAGCAGGUGUUUCUCCUUUAUCUACAGUCAAAACAUUUCAUGUAAAACAACAUCCCAGUAGAUUUACACAACAACCAAUAUUUUGACUACAUCUGCAUUUUUCUAUUCUUAUUGCUAUGUGAAUAGACUGUGUAGAAAAUACUCAAGUUUUAGACUUGUUUUUUCCUAAGUUAAAUAUAAUUGUUAAAAAUCCUUCUUUAUUGAGGUAUAGUGUUCAUACAAAUAAACAUACUCUUUUGAAGUUCAAUGAAUUUUAACAAAUGUACACACUUUUAUAACCAGCACCACAAUCAAGAUAUAUAUUACAUCUCUAUCAGCCCCCCUAAAUAUUCCUGUUUUGCGCUAAUAACCACCCUAUCCCCCACCUAGUCCCAGGCAGCCAUUGAUCUCUUUCUCUCAAUAUAGAUCUGGAUUUUUUUCUUUCCUAAAAUUUUAUGUAAAUGAUACCUCAUUUGUACUCUUUUUUGUGGCUGGCUUAUUUCACUCAGCAUACUGAUUCUAAGAUUCAUACAUAUCAUGGUACUUAUCAGUAGUUUAUGCUCCCUCUCUCUUUUUCUCUUUUUGCUACAUAGUAUUCCAUUAUAUGAAUAUACUAUAGUGUGUUUAUCCACUUACCUGUUUUAUGGCUAUGGGUUUUUAGUUUGGAGAUGUUAUGAAUAAAGCCACUCUGAACAUUUGUUUAUAAGUCCUUUUGCUAUUGCUAAUUCUUCCUACUGAUAUUUACAUGAAUUUUAUGUGUGUGUGAAACACUUCAUAGAAACAUGAGAGGAGAUAGACAUAAUAUAAUGACAAUGUCCUUGCUUUUGUUAUUUAAAUAAGUGUUUUUCUGUGUUUCUAAAGAUGGCGUGAUGUCAUCCUUUAAGUAUUGGGUAUGCCCUGGUGUGCCAUUUGCUUGGUAGUUACUGUGUUACCAGUUACCCAGGGUACCCAAGGUACAUGGGAGUGGCUAAGCAUUUGGGGGUUAUUUCUGUUCUUUUUUACAUCUCUCUCUCCUCUGUGACAUAGUUGGUGAUGUCAUAUGGAGAGGAAGUGAGUAUGUAGAGGGUAUUCAGUACUUCUUUGAAGAUUUUAGUAGUUUUUACUGGGAGAUUUUUCUUCUCUUCCUUUGUUCUGUAUUCUGCUUUAGUUCAUUGUACAAGCUCUCAUUCACUGACACACCCCUACCCCCCAGGUGUUUCCUUAACCAUUAGCCUCAGCACUGAAGCUACUGGGAAACUGGCCAAGAAGAACCAGUUUUAACAGAGUCAUGCACUUCAAGCUUUUCUUGAUUUUACCCUCAUUUGUGCAAUAUGUGACAUCAGCCUACACAGUCCACAUAAGAAAUGACUUAAUUCCAAGAAUCAGGAUCAGUGAUUUACUUACACUCCAGAUUAUGGUGAAAUCCCAACCUUUCUCAAACUUGGAGUUCCCCUUCAUUUAAUUUCUUUCUGCUUUUAUAGUCACCUGAAUUAUUUUAUUUAGGUUCUGACUAUCAUGAAUAUCACCCUGAAAUUCCUUAGUCAGUAAUCCAGACCUCAGAAACAAGUUCUUAGAAACCACUCAAAUCCGCAAUAAAAUAAAAACCUGAGAAUCUGAGACAAGUAGAUAAGAGUAGCAUCCAGACGUUCAGCCCUGAUUGUUUUGAAAAAUUCAGAGCAUACAAAGAAGUGUAUCCCAGUGAGGUGGUAAUUACUGAGCUCAGCAGCCUAUUGUUAAGAUAUUAAAUUAAAGCCAAAUAAGAUACCUAACAACACUGCUUCUUAAAAAUAGUGACUCAUAGCCUAAUUGACGUGAGAAUCAAAUAAAUAUUGUGGAACUGCUUUAGGGGGAAAGACUUCUUUUGGAUUUAAGUUUCAUUUAAUGGAAUUCAUUGAACAUAUCCAAAAAAUUUCCAUAAAUUGUCUAAUAAAAAGCAUAAAGUCUUAAAGAGUUUUAAAAAGGGAUGAUGAAACUCUUUCCCUUUGCCACCCACUUCAUGAAAGGAGGAAUAUAGUGCUGUAAAUUCCCCUGUAAUUUUAGUAAUGGGGACCUGGAUUUGGAAGAGAAUGUCUAGGUAAAGAGUCCAAGCUGGCACAAAACUGCCCAAAAUAUAUAAGGAGGUGGGCUUUCAAGAGUUCUGACAAGAGAGCAGUUGGAUGGAGGAACUUGACUAUGAUGCAUUAGACAUAUCAGUCCCAGAGUAAACGUUCACUCAGUCAGCUUGUGGUUUUGUUUUCCUCGUGACAGAAUAUUGAUUUGAUGGGUUCUUUUCUUCUAGUUCGCUCUACAGGUUUUAUUUUAAGCAGCUUCUAUGUUGCUCUCUGUUAUACCUUGGCAUCUUAGAAGGGUUUCUACGUAACAGUUAGGUAGUCUUGAUAACUUUUGUCACUGAAACUAGGUCCUUCCCAAUCAAGUUGAGAGAGAGUCAGAGGAGACCUUAAUGUGAGGCAGAAUGAGCAGACUAUUUGGCAUCACAGAACAGAAUUUUUUCUCUAAUGCAUCUGAAGGUGUAUUUUCAGUGAAAUUGUUAGCAUUUUGUUUCUUUGCUUUCUCACUUAGAAUGAGAGGAUAAAAAUACUUAGAGGAUCCC
RNAcentral lists this long non-coding RNA (4484 nucleotides) under Sus scrofa (pig). RNAcentral describes it as "lncRNA (ENSSSCG00000053327.1)". The record is from RNAcentral. Lineage: Eukaryota; Metazoa; Chordata; Mammalia; Artiodactyla; Suidae.